GAUGAACGCUGGCGGCGUGCUUAACACAUGCAAGUCGAACGGGAAUGUUUCGCUGAUGCGAUUUCGGUCAAAUCUUGAAGCAUUUUAGUGGCGGACGGGUGAGUAACGCGUGGGUAACCUGCCCUGUACAGGGGGACAACAGUUGGAAACGACUGCUAAUACCGCAUAAGCGCACAGCUUCGCAUGAAGCAGUGUGAAAAACUCCGGUGGUACAGGAUGGACCCGCGUCUGAUUAGAUAGUUGGUGAGGUAACGGCCCACCAAGUCAACGAUCAGUAGCCGGCCUGAGAGGGCGAACGGCCACAUUGGGACUGAGACACGGCCCAAACUCCUACGGGAGGCAGCAGUGGGGAAUAUUGCACAAUGGGGGAAACCCUGAUGCAGCGACGCCGCGUGAGUGAAGAAGUAUUUCGGUAUGUAAAGCUCUAUCAGCAGGGAAGAAAACAAUGACGGUACCUGACUAAGAAGCCCCGGCUAACUACGUGCCAGCAGCCGCGGUAAUACGUAGGGGGCAAGCGUUAUCCGGAUUUACUGGGUGUAAAGGGAGCGUAGACGGUAGACCAAGUCUGAAGUGAAAGCCCGGGGCUCAACCCCGGAACUGCUUUGGAAACUGGUAAACUAGAGUGCAGGAGAGGUAAGUGGAAUUCCUAGUGUAGCGGUGAAAUGCGUAGAUAUUAGGAGGAACACCAGUGGCGAAGGCGGCUUACUGGACUGUAACUGACGUUGAGGCUCGAAAGCGUGGGGAGCAAACAGGAUUAGAUACCCUGGUAGUCCACGCCGUAAAC
This 784-nucleotide ribosomal RNA is filed under the name uncultured bacterium. RNAcentral describes it as "bacterial SSU rRNA". It matches the Rfam family "Bacterial small subunit ribosomal RNA", at positions 28 to 807 of the family's 1533-position model. The record is from RNAcentral.